This 27-nucleotide non-coding RNA is filed under the name Rattus norvegicus (Norway rat). The record is from RNAcentral. Lineage: Eukaryota; Metazoa; Chordata; Mammalia; Rodentia; Muridae.
UGGCUUCCACAAAACUUUGUGCCAUCC